This 21-nucleotide non-coding RNA is filed under the name Caenorhabditis elegans. The record is from RNAcentral. Lineage: Eukaryota; Metazoa; Nematoda; Chromadorea; Rhabditida; Rhabditidae.
UCAUGAAUUCGAAAAUGUUCG